GGAGAGGUUCCCGAGUGGCUAAAGGGGGCAGACUGUAAAUCUGCUGGCAGUGCCUUCGGUGGUUCGAAUCCACCCCUCUCCA
This 82-nucleotide transfer RNA is filed under the name Tepidanaerobacter syntrophicus. It matches the Rfam family "tRNA". Rfam says of the family: Transfer RNA (tRNA) molecules are approximately 80 nucleotides in length. Their secondary structure includes four short double-helical elements and three loops (D, anti-codon, and T loops). The record is from Rfam by way of RNAcentral. Lineage: Bacteria; Bacillati; Bacillota; Clostridia; Thermosediminibacterales; Tepidanaerobacteraceae.